UUUUUGUUAACGUAUUUAGCCACAUAGAAACCAACAGCCAUAUAACUGGUAGCUUUAAGCGGCUCACCUUUAGCAUCAACAGGCCACAACCAACCAGAACGUGAAAAAGCGUCCUGCGUGUAGCGAACUGCGAUGGGCAUACUGUAACCAUAAGGCCACGUAUUUUGCAAGCUAUUUAACUGGCGGCGAUUGCGUACCCGACGACCAAAAUUAGGGUCAACGCUAC
This 226-nucleotide ribosomal RNA is filed under the name uncultured prokaryote. Its description in RNAcentral is "partial 16S ribosomal RNA". The record is from RNAcentral.